UUGAGAGAAUAACUAAUUCCAUAAUUCCAAAAUAUGUGCAUGGAGACUUUCUGGGUUGUUGGCUGCUAUUAAACUAUAACAAACAAGUGAAAUUUCUGAGAUUUUUAGUGUGAAAGCAAUAAAUUAGUGUUGGCUUGUUUAAGAGAUUUUAAAUGGAAAUUGGACUGAAUUUCUUUCUAAUUGGAUUAAUUGAUGUUCG
This 199-nucleotide long non-coding RNA is filed under the name Phaseolus vulgaris (common bean). Its description in RNAcentral is "long non-coding RNA (PVUL_LNC003095)". Lineage: Eukaryota; Viridiplantae; Streptophyta; Magnoliopsida; Fabales; Fabaceae. The record is from RNAcentral.